ACAAACAAGGAAAAUUGUGGCAAGGCUGGAAGGCUGAGUCAGCAGACUCCAGCCCGCCAUCCAGGGAACAGCAUGUAAUGACACACAGAUAAAGCCAUGGAACAUGUGGCAACAUAUGGAUUAACUGAAAUGGGCUGAGUUUUAGUGUCAAAUUUAUAG
Molecule: non-coding RNA, 159 nt
Organism: Peromyscus maniculatus bairdii (prairie deer mouse)
Lineage: Eukaryota; Metazoa; Chordata; Mammalia; Rodentia; Cricetidae
Source: RefSeq, a predicted model, not a curated record